GCUCAAAUAUCCAAAUAUAUUUAUUAAUUUUUUCAUGACCAUCCAAAAUUUUCAUGACACAAUAUUAAUUAACAUGACAUUUCAUAACUAAGUAUUUUUACUACAACAUAAGAAUUACAUGUUCUCACAUAUACUCUGAACCUUAUACCUACUUACGUAAUAAUGAAUUUCAUAAUUAUUACAUUAUUUUUAUCAUUCUCCUAAACAUUUUAACAUAGGAAAAAUAAAAGAAACCAAUGGUACUUCUUUGGAUGCUCUAAAAACACAUAAUUAAUCUUCCUAACCUUGAUUCCGUGCUCAUCUAAUAUUGGAAGCUCCUCCAUUCUCAACAUGUUCUCAUUAACCAUACAUUAAAAAUAUACCAAAAUAUUUAUAUAAUACCUUUCUAAACUUUCUCAUAGCAUUUAAACUCAAAUGUCAUGAGAAAAGAGGUGGAAAUUUUCAUUACUUACAAUUUUGAAGUUUUCUCUCACUAAAACCCAUGAUAACCCAACUUGAAUAAUGAAGUUAAUGGAGGAAAUGAGAUUGGAAUCAAGUUUCGUAUUUGAUUUUAUCAAGAAAUUAAAGUUUGGAUGCUUGGAAAUGGUUUGAUUUGAGAGAAAAGCAUCAGAGAUGAGGAAGAAACGAAAAGAGGGGGGUUAUCUUCAUCCCCGAAGUGAACGGCUGGUUGGGGGAAGAGUGGAGAUAAUUUUACACUCUUCUUCCCCC
This 708-nucleotide long non-coding RNA is filed under the name Gossypium barbadense (sea-island cotton). Its description in RNAcentral is "long non-coding RNA (GBAR_LNC015547)". The record is from RNAcentral. Lineage: Eukaryota; Viridiplantae; Streptophyta; Magnoliopsida; Malvales; Malvaceae.